CCUACGGGGGACAGCAGUGAGGAAUAUUGGUCAAUGGCCGGAAGGCUGAACCAGCCAAGCCGCGUGAAGGACGAAGGUGCCAAGCAUUGUAAACUUCUUUUGUCAAGGGACAAAAUCAGGCUCGAGAGCCUGACCGAGGGUACUUGAAGAAAAAGCAUCGGCUAACUCCGUGCCAGCAGCCGCGGUAAUACGGAGGAUGCGAGCGUUAUCCGGAUUUAUUGGGGUUAAAGGGUGCGUAGGCGGGCUGUUAAGUCAGCGGUAAAAUCCAGGGGCUCAACCCAGGAGAGCCGUUGAAACUGGCUUUCGUGAGAUGUCGAUAUGUAGGUGGAAUGCGCAGUUGAGCGGGGAGAUGCUUAGAUA
RNAcentral lists this ribosomal RNA (360 nucleotides) under uncultured bacterium. RNAcentral describes it as "partial 16S ribosomal RNA". It matches the Rfam family "Bacterial small subunit ribosomal RNA", at positions 338 to 696 of the family's 1533-position model. The record is from RNAcentral.